GAGUUGUGCAUUAUGGGUUGGGGAAC
RNAcentral lists this non-coding RNA (26 nucleotides) under Rattus norvegicus (Norway rat). The record is from RNAcentral. Lineage: Eukaryota; Metazoa; Chordata; Mammalia; Rodentia; Muridae.